CAAGAAUCCUGCUCUCUUCUUUAAGAUGUGCCUAUUAGCAAAGUGCCCGCUUAAAAAGGCACCUGCUCCCCCCUUUAGCCUUAAAUAGUCCACAGUGGAGCUCCAGGACAACAUACUUGAACAUGUGAAGAGACUUUGAGUGUGAUAACAUCCUUUGUUGUAACUAUCUGCUCGUCCAGAGAGGAGGCGGGCGUUGGGCAUGGGGACAAGAGGCCACGCUGCGGCGGCGGCAGUGGUGGCGGCGGAGGGGGAGAGUGGUUGUAGCGCCAUGAGAGGG
RNAcentral lists this unclassified non-coding RNA (277 nucleotides) under Hevea brasiliensis (rubber tree). Lineage: Eukaryota; Viridiplantae; Streptophyta; Magnoliopsida; Malpighiales; Euphorbiaceae. The record is from RNAcentral.